AGUGCCCUAUUAUUAUACCAAUUACUAACGUUAUCCCAAACAUGAAAGCGUUAUGUUCUUCACAAUGUAUAAUAUGAAGGAAUUGGCUUUACUGGAAUGACACGUCGUGUAAUAAUCGGAGACUUAGUAAUGUUAAAUUGUUGUUGUUGAUAAAGUUGGAGGGCAACUAUGUCUAUCAGGUGGAGUAUUGAACAAAAUGUGAAAGAUCUUAAAGAUCUUCAGGCCAGUACAAUGGCUGUGGACUGUCUUGGUCAAUGGGUUCUUCUUGGAGGGAAAAGAGCUUUAACGUUGAUGAGUCUUGAAAAUCAUGAUCAUGUUCGAAAAAUUGACCGGAACAGCAAAUAUGACAUCAGUUGUGUCCAGUGGAAUCCACAUGCUGUUGCAGCUGAAAAGUUUGCUGUAGCUUGUGGUCAGAAACUGGAUGUCUAUCACUGGCAAGAUGGUAGCAAUAGCAGCAAACCAAUAUGUUCCAUAAAAGCUCAUUCCCGUGUUGUAAGUGAUUUAGAUUGGUCACCAUUUGAUGUCAACAUCCUGGCUUCUUGCUCUGUUGAUUCCUACACUUUUCUCUGGGAUAUCAGAGAACCAAAGAAACCUACGGGAUCAUUUCAAACAGUUGCUGGUGCCUCUCAAGUUCAAUGGAACAAAGUUACCAACAACACAUUUGCUACAACACAUGAAGGGGAUGUCAGAAUUUGGGAUCCAAGGAAAGGAAAUACUGCUGUGCAGUAUAUUGCAGCCCACCCGUCCAAGAUUUAUGGUUUAGACUGGAGUCCAUUUUCAGAGUACAAUUUAGCUACUUGUAGUCAGGACUGUACAGUGAAGUUUUGGGAUGUCACAAAUUCUAAACGUCAGGAAGAAGUGCUAGUAUCCGGUUCUCCAGUUUGGAAGGCUCGCUACACUCCUUUCCAAAUUGGAUUAGUCACACUUGUUCUACCUCAAUUAACCAGGGAGCCAUAUCUGUAUUUAUGGAAUAUUUCUAACCUCAAGCAACCUGUGCACACUUUUGUAGGACAUGCUGAUGUUGUUUUAGACUUUCACUGGAGAAAUAAAGCAAAAGGCAGUAAUGAUUACCAGUUGGUGACUUGGUCAAAGGAUCAGAGUUUAAGAAUUUGGAAAAUAGAUUCUAACUUGCAGAAGUUGUGUCGUCAGGAUGCUGCAAAUUUUAUGGAUGAUAAUAUUCCAGAAAAUCUGUUACCCGAAGAUGAUGAAAUUGCCAGAGUCAGUGUUAGUGCUGGAACUCGAGAGCCUUCAUUUACAUCAAUAUUUCAUCAGCCACAAACCUUGUUACAAGAGUUUUCUUUAGUUAACAAAGAUAUUCCUAGAGUUGCAUUUGAAAAGAUGGAUGCUGAUAGUCGAACCUGCACAGUAAGUGCUGUCAGUAAAGGUCAUUGUGCCUCUCUUGUUGUUACAUUCCCUGUCAGUUACCCAAACAAUGCUGCACCGACAUUUCAAUUCACUCAGAGAACCACUCUACAGACAUCACAGAAAAAUGUCCUAUUGCAGGCUCUUGAAGACACAUCACAGCAGCAUGUCAAAAGAAAUCGGUCUUGCCUGGAACCUUGCCUUAGGCAACUGACCGCCAACUUGGACAAGUUAACAGACGUUGAACAUCAAACUCCUGACAAUGAGGACCAGUUUACUCUUCCAACAAAGUCAGGAGCCCCAAUUGUUCCAAAUUUCUAUUAUAUUGGGCAUCAAGAUAGUUCUGUUCCUUUUCCACGUACAUCGGGAGCUCGUUUUUGUUCGGCAGGAUAUCUGGUUUGUUUUGGUCGUCAGGCCUCCAGCAAGAAAGCUUAUACAGAGCGAACUCCCAAAUCUCUGUCAGUGCUAGCCUAUUUACAGUCAGGCAUGAGGUCACCCCAGUCAACAUCAUCCUACUCUGUCUUUUCUCGUAGCCCACCUACAUCUGAUGGAAUGUUCUCUAUCAGUAAUUACUAUGCUUUUAAAGAAAAGAAGCGAAAUCGAAGCCGAUGUCGUUCUAAAGAUACUUUAGAUUCAAAAGGUCGAGAUUCAGAACUGAAGAAGAUGCCAAAAGUGAACCCAGUCAUUAUUUAUGAUGUUUUACCUCUGCAGAUGCUUAACAAACAGUUAGCUGAAAACUAUAUAAUCCAAUUAAAUGAUAUUCCUAAGAUGUGCAGCCACAAUGGUAAUGCCGCACUUGCAGUUGGAAGGAAAGAUUUAGUACAGAUGUGGUCAUGGCUGGCUUUGGUUGCUGGAGGUGGUCAAGAUUUUAGUAAAGAUCCCUUUGAUGGUGCCCCUUGGGCUCAGCAUACUUUUGGAAGAAAACUAAUAAAAUCUUUGCUUGACCACUACAUGAGUAUCUAUGACAUUCAAACAUGUGCAAUGUUGUCCUGUUUAUUAUGGACAAAAUCUGUUGCUCAACAACUUCAACAACCUCCACAUUCGCCAAAACCAGACAAAGAGAAUAUACCACCAAACAGUGACCAUUCCUAUGUGGACAGAGGUAGUAGCCCUGAAGACUGGAACAUACUCUUACAGCCCAUAUCACACAGUUACUUCUGCCACAAAUCUCUUGAAGGGCGGGGCACCCAAUGAGUGGCCUUCCCUCACUCCAUCCGUAACAUUUCCUUGCACAGCUCUUAAAGAGACCUGUUCCCAAUUUAACAUCACUGCUUUAGUUCAUACAGCCAUCAAUUUAAGACGUUCAAACAGUUGGUCAGAUUCUUAUGAAGGG
This 2695-nucleotide unclassified non-coding RNA is filed under the name Octopus sinensis (East Asian common octopus). RNAcentral describes it as "gATOR complex protein WDR59, transcript variant X11". Lineage: Eukaryota; Metazoa; Mollusca; Cephalopoda; Octopoda; Octopodidae. The record is from RNAcentral.